Molecule: long non-coding RNA, 3044 nt
Organism: Lutra lutra (Eurasian river otter)
Lineage: Eukaryota; Metazoa; Chordata; Mammalia; Carnivora; Mustelidae
Exons: 4
Source: RefSeq, a predicted model, not a curated record
GACACCUGAGGGAACAAAAGCCCACAUUUCACCAGCAGGGAAAGGCCUCGUUGCUGGGCCCCUGGAUGGUCACUGUGCCUAUCUCCAGCUUGGCCCGUGGUGGGUGACAAGGCACCUACUUGCCCUUCUGGUAACUCAGUAAAAUCCACUAUGGGAAUAAUUCAGAUUCUAAAGUGAGAGAUUAGUUAAAAACUUGUAAACCUCAUUAAAUCUAUCAUCUAAAACAUCAAGAAUAUUUUUAAGAACAGAGCUCUAAUUUAAGAGACCGUCUGGUGAAAAUGCCGUCAGCGUUCCUAGCUAAAACUGCCGCCCAGAUGCUAUGUGCGCGUGCGGACGGACUGGUAUUUAAACUUCCAAUUUCCUGUGGCGGGAAAGCCAGGAGUGGGAAAAAUGGCAAUUAGAUAUGUAUUCAGGACCAUAAUCUAAUUAUUUGGUUAGAGUUGAACUCAGUGGCUCCUUCAGGAAGCUCAAAUCCCAAGUCACGAGAAUGAGAACAAAGUGGGCUCUGGACGGAAAUGUCUUGUUGAACAAACUACUCAGAACCCAGGGAAAGAUGGGGAAGAACGUGGCCACAGUUUCACAGAUGUCUGCCAACUCCCAGCAGGUGUCUGCAGGGCCACAAGGGGUCUUCUCCGUCUGCGUCAGUCCUGACCGCACCAAGGCCCUGGAGGCAGGCACGGCAGCCUUGGGCGGGGAGCGAGUCACUAGUCCAGGUGAGUGAUGAAGAGGGGAGACCGCCCUUGGCUAAGAGGCUGGAUCCACCAGGCAGAAGGAACUCCAUCCGCAUUUGAGGUGACAGGAGCCACUAGGAUGUGGGACUGUGACGUCCCGGGAUGCUGACACGAGUGGAAGGUGAGGCAGAAGGCACAGGUUUGGCCUGGAGAGUUACCUGCGGUAAAUGGGGGCACCAGACCAUGGGAAGGAGGGUCUGCUCGUCCUACAUCUGCUCAUACUCAGGGCAGUAGAGUGGCUAGGAGGGUAAACCUCAAGGGAAGACUGAAAGUUAAAAGGUUUUUAAUAUAGAGGAUGGCUGCCAACAGAAAAGCCUUCAGUAAGAGUCCCUAGAGAUGGCGGUGAUACAAACAUCUACACUUUGCUAGAAGACGCAGCUAUGUUAAAAGAGGCAGUCUGCAAAAACAGAUCCCACCCCAGCACACACAGUGUGGGUACGAAGUGCCUGGAGCGCCCUCUUGGAGACUUCUCCCACAGGAGUCAGGCUAUUGACUCCAAUUAGCUGAUGCACACUGGCUGGCAUUCAAGAGAAACAGAUUUUCUCUUGCCCCAUGUCUUCCUUCCCUGGUCACCCUGAAGCCUCGUGGGUCCCAGAAGGUGGCUCUGUGCUGUCCUCUACAAGGUUCAGGGGACUGGGGAUCAGUUUUCUAAAUUUUGUGACUGGGGAGUCGACAGGCUGUCCUCAGGUGCUCAGUGCCCAGUGUGGGAAGCAGGGGCUGGGAGAAAUCUGGGUCGGAGGAGGACAGCCUGAGCAGCCCUGGGGGAAGACAGGCCCCUCCCGGCAGACUCCGCAGCCUGAGCGAGCAGGCAGGUCAGCUUCAGAGACAGCCUGCCGGGGUGGCCCCGGGCACUUAAGACACUGUUCUGAGAAGGACUCCUUAGCCAAGCUCACAAGACUAAGGUAUACAGCAGGACGCCAGCUUCCACUGGGCCUGGAAUCAGAACCAGAGCCUGAUUCACACAUCCCCGAAACGACAGCCCAGGCAGUAGGACCAUGAGACCAGAGUCUGAGGGCCGGAGCUAUCCCGUCACUCGGUAGCCAUGGACCGGGCACUUUCCACUGACCGACUCUGGCCUUUGGUUGGGCUUCCGUGACGGACUCCGUCUGCAUGUCAGAAAGUCACAGUGGAGGUAGGUGGCUUCAGUGUUGCCCUCUUUCGGGAGGCUUUCUAAAUCUACGCUGUCAUCUUCACGAUGGCUGACCUAUUUUAGUUCCCUCAUUGCAAAUCCUGAGAACAGGAUCCUAAAGUACAACAGUUGGGUAGGUUUUAAUAAAUUCAAGGGGGACAGACUUUUGGGCUUCGUUAAUGACUGAUUUGGUCCUAUUUGCCACAGGGCCUCUGGGUGAGCCUCUUGGUCCCAGUAUCUAGAUCUGGGGACAAGUCACCCACUAGCAAUGCUGUGGAUUCAGUAUAACAAUCCUCCUCUGCCUCCCUGUUUUGAUUCCCCAAUAAUUCACUGAGGGUCCCCUAAACCUUGAAUGAAAACCACUGCCCCCAAUUUUUAGACUUAGAUUUGAUUUUUAAUCAGCAAUUAUCCAACGAAUCGUGUGUGUUCAGGGUAAACCGUCUUUCUGACAGACCGUGAUCCUCGAGUGGUGCGUGACCUACUGGAAGUUAAAAGCAGAAAGAAACUGACCUUGCCAAUGUUUGUGUUGUCCAGAGCCGCGUCUACUUCGUCUAACACAAAGAAUGGAGCAGGCCGAAAGCUGGAACGACAGUACAGCCCAAUUGUCCAUCGGCAUGAACCGUUUGCCUGGAGCCACGCAGUUAUAGCUAAUUCCCUCUAGGUCAGCCGUCUCCCAAGACACUCUAUGUUAUAUGUCCCUUCACUACAGAGACCACUGACUGUUCCGUAAAAUCAAGUUACCAGACAGCAGAACUGCAGAACUGCCGAGAAUCUGGAAACUAAGUGACCUAACCCCUCUUUCAGAUGAAGAGAUGGGCCCAGAGAGAUUCUGCCUUGUCCAGGCUAGCCAGCGGUGGAGCGAAUGGGAUCUAGAACACACACAGUUACUAUGGUAACCGAUCUUCUGGAACUGACUUUGCUCCGGAAGUGGGUCACUCAGAUGAUGUGACAGACAUUUAUUUCCCACCAGAAAAAAACCACCAGCAACACAAAGUUCCCAGGAACAUCGAUGAGAACACUUGAAAGGUGUGAUGUGGGACCAAAGGCACCAAGGGUACAUAUUCAAAUAACAAAACUUCCUACAAUAAAUUUCAAAUUGGUAGUAAGCGUCUUCAAAUUCCUGGUUGUGGUCCUUCAAACUAAUUACCUAUCAAUAGCCAGAAAUCUCUUCCGCUCUUCUUCCA